UAAUGGGCGAAAGCCUGAACUAGCAACGCCGCGUGUGCGAAGAAGGCCUUCGGGUUGUAAAGCACUUUUUGAGAGGAUGAGGAAGGACGGUACUCUCAGAAUAAGUCUCGGCUAACUACGUGCCAGCAGCCGCGGUAACACGUAGGAGGCGAACGUUAUCCGGAUUUACUGGGCGUAAAGCGCGUGUCAGUGGGUUGGUAAGACAGGCGUGAAAGGUGCUGGCUCAACUGGGAUUAUCCGUUCUAAAAGGCCGAACUAGAGGAUGGUAGAGGGAGGUGGAAUUCCGGGUGUAGCGGUGGAAUGGGCAGAUAUCCGGAGGAACAGUAGUGUGGAAAGCGGCCUCCUGGAGUAGUCGUGACACUCAGACGCGAAAGCUAGGGUAGCAAACGG
This 390-nucleotide ribosomal RNA is filed under the name uncultured bacterium. Its description in RNAcentral is "bacterial SSU rRNA". It matches the Rfam family "Bacterial small subunit ribosomal RNA", at positions 369 to 775 of the family's 1533-position model. The record is from RNAcentral.